Molecule: ribosomal RNA, 447 nt
Filed under: Triticum aestivum (bread wheat)
Lineage: Eukaryota; Viridiplantae; Streptophyta; Magnoliopsida; Poales; Poaceae
Description: partial small subunit ribosomal RNA
Source: RNAcentral
AUGUCCACUACUCAUGUGCUGUUGUUACCCGACUUUGAUAAGCAGUUCACCAUUGAAACAAAUGCGUGCUCAACUGGUAUUGGAGCUGUUCUUUUGCAACAAGGACAUCCUGUAGCAUUCUACAGUAAAGCACUGGGCAUUAAGAAUCAGCAACUGUCCAUAUAUGAGAAAGAGUUUUUAGCUAUCAUGAUGGCAGUGGAGAAAUGGAGAGCUUACUUGCAAAGAGGACCUUUUAUUAUCAAAACCGAUCAUCAGAGUUUGUGUCAGUUAGGGGAUCAAAUUCUCACAUCUGAUCUUCAACGAAAAGCCAAGACUAAACUGGUGGGACUUCAGUUUCAGUUUCAGUACAAAAAGGGGACUGAAAACACUGUGGCUGAUGCAUUAUCAAGAGUAGGACAUCUGCUUGCGGUGUCUGCAACUUCUCAGAGUCAACCGGUGUGGAUGUAA